UUCAGUUCGCCCUCUAUGACCUUUGGGCCAAGUCAGUCGUUGAUUAUCAUAUCAUGGGCAAUCACUGCACAGAUGGAAUAGGCACAAGGGCUACAAAUCUGCCUUUUACAAUCCCUGAUGGGGUGUCCCCCCUUAAUUAUCUGGCUGUUAUUGUGCGUAUGACACUCCACAAACAGCCUGCCGUUUCAGUUGGGAUGAGGUGAAGAACUCCUACCGUGUAAAGUAGUACCCAGUUAUCAUUGUUAGGUUUAUUUUUUUUUUGCAGUGUUACGCUGUUCUUGGCUAACAUGUUUUCUUUUGCUCUGGUAUGUGCAGCUGAAAAGAGGGGUGCGCAGAAUAUGGCAUGCAAGGUUUACCUCAUAUGCUGUGACAAUAGUAGCGAGCAGCCGGUCAUCAAGUUAUACAGUGAAAUUUGAUACAGUUAAACCUUGUUAAUUCAUCUCUCGUUGAUUUAGAAAAUAAGAUAAUUUAAACUUGUCCUUUGGUCCCAGCAGGUGUGUGCAUUACUUAAUGCAAAGGAACUCUAGUUAAUUUCGAUUUAAGUGACCACAUAUCAGUUAAUUUGGGUGAUUCUUGGAGCUUGGCGAGCGCCGGAGUGCUGCAAAUGUACGAUGCAAGAGAGUGAAAAUGUUGUUAGCAUCGACCAAAACGAAGUGGUGGAGUCAGUAUCGCCAUAGUCAUCAGUGGAAAUCGUACAUGACUGACAGAACCCUUCGUGCCUAUUGGUGCUGCUAAAGCCUUUAUUCUUGCGUUUGCCACUGCGCAUAGUGCCACAUUGGCCACGUGCCUCCAUGACUGUGUAGUCACGAUCCACGAUUGCAUCAAUAGCGGCCACGGUUUCA
This 842-nucleotide long non-coding RNA is filed under the name Dermacentor andersoni. Its description in RNAcentral is "uncharacterized LOC126532987". Lineage: Eukaryota; Metazoa; Arthropoda; Arachnida; Ixodida; Ixodidae. The record is from RNAcentral.